GGCCCCUUCGUCUAGCGGUCCAGGACUCCGGGUUCUCAGUCCGGCAAUCGCGGGUUCGAAUCCCGCAGGGGUCACCA
This 77-nucleotide transfer RNA is filed under the name Candidatus Saccharimonadota bacterium. Its description in RNAcentral is "tRNA-Glu". It matches the Rfam family "tRNA". Rfam says of the family: Transfer RNA (tRNA) molecules are approximately 80 nucleotides in length. Their secondary structure includes four short double-helical elements and three loops (D, anti-codon, and T loops). The record is from RNAcentral. RNAcentral also lists the same sequence under 4 other names. Lineage: Bacteria; Candidatus Saccharimonadota.